GGGGAAUCUUGCGCAAUGGGCGAAAGCCUGACGCAGCGACGCCGCGUGAGGGAUGACGGCCUUCGGGUUGUAAACCUCUUUCAGCAGGGACGAAGCGCAAGUGACGGUACCUGCAGAAGAAGCACCGGCUAACUACGUGCCAGCAGCCGCGGUAAUACGUAGGGUGCGAGCGUUGUCCGGAAUUAUUGGGCGUAAAGAGCUCGUAGGCGGUUUGUUGCGUCGGCCGUGAAAACUUCACGCUUAACGUGGAGCCUGCGGUCGAUACGGGCAGACUUGAGUUCGGCAGGGGAGACUGGAAUUCCUGGUGUAGCGGUGAAAUGCGCAGAUAUCAGGAGGAACACCGGUGGCGAAGGCGGGUCUCUGGGCCGAUACUGACGCUGAGGAGCGAAAGCGUGGGGAGCAAAC
This 405-nucleotide ribosomal RNA is filed under the name uncultured bacterium. RNAcentral's name for it is "bacterial SSU rRNA". It matches the Rfam family "Bacterial small subunit ribosomal RNA", at positions 356 to 773 of the family's 1533-position model. The record is from RNAcentral.